GACGAACGCUGGCGGCGUGCCUAAUACAUGCAAGUAGAACGCUGAAGGAGGAGCUUGCUCUUCUGGAUGAGUUGCGAACGGGUGAGUAACGCGUAGGUAGCCUGCCUGGUAGCGGGGGAUAACUAUUGGAAACGAUAGCUAAUACCGCAUAAGAGUAGAUGUUGCAUGACAUUUACUUAAAAGGUGCAAUUGCAUCACUACCAGAUGGACCUGCGUUGUAUUAGCUAGUUGGUGGGGUGACGGCUUACCAAGGCGACGAUACAUAGCCGACCUGAGAGGGUGAUCGGCCACACUGGGACUGAGACACGGCCCAGACUCCUACGGGAGGCAGCAGUAGGGAAUCUUCGGCAAUGGACGGAAGUCUGACCGAGCAACGCCGCGGGAGUGAAGAAGGUUUUCGGAUCGUAAAGCUCUGUUGUAAGAGAAGAACGAGUGUGAGAGUGGAAAGUUCACACUGUGACGGUAUCUUACCAGAAAGGGACGGCUAACUACGUG
Molecule: ribosomal RNA, 495 nt
Filed under: uncultured bacterium
Lineage: Bacteria
Description: partial 16S ribosomal RNA
Rfam family: Bacterial small subunit ribosomal RNA
Source: RNAcentral